RNAcentral lists this ribosomal RNA (350 nucleotides) under uncultured bacterium. RNAcentral's name for it is "partial 16S ribosomal RNA". It matches the Rfam family "Bacterial small subunit ribosomal RNA", at positions 338 to 686 of the family's 1533-position model. The record is from RNAcentral.
CCUACGGGAGGCUGCAGUGAGGAAUAUUGGUCAAUGGACGCAAGUCUGAACCAGCCAUGCCGCGUGCAGGAAGACGGCUCUAUGAGUUGUAAACUGCUUUUGUACGAGGGAAAACGCAGAUACGCGUAUCUGUCUGAAAGUAUCGUACGAAUCAGGAUCGGCUAACUCCGUGCCAGCAGCCGCGGUAAUACGGAGGAUUCAAGCGUUAUCCGGAGUUAUUGGGUUUAAAGGGUGCGUAGGCGGAAGGCCCAGUCAGAGUUAAAAUCGCGGGGCUAAACCUCACUGCGCCGGUGAAUCUGGCGUUCUUGAGUGGGCGAGAAGUAUGCGGAAUGCGUGGUGUAGCGGUGAAA